Non-coding RNA from Schistosoma rodhaini, 45 nucleotides. The record is from Rfam. NCBI's taxonomy places the organism in Eukaryota, Metazoa, Platyhelminthes, Trematoda, Strigeidida, Schistosomatidae.
AUUCAACUAAUGAAUCCCAAGUAGAACGAAACGUACGUCCUGAAU